This 500-nucleotide ribosomal RNA is filed under the name uncultured bacterium. RNAcentral's name for it is "bacterial SSU rRNA". It matches the Rfam family "Bacterial small subunit ribosomal RNA", at positions 384 to 874 of the family's 1533-position model. The record is from RNAcentral.
UGACGCAGCAACGCCGCGUGAGUGAUGAAGGCCCUCGGGUCGUAAAGCUCUGUCAGGUGGAAAGAAAGCUCCGCUCCCCAACAAGGGGCGGAAUCGACGGUACCACCAAAGGAAGCACCGGCUAACUCCGUGCCAGCAGCCGCGGUAAUACGGAGGGUGCAAGCGUUGUUCGGAAUUAUUGGGCGUAAAGCGCGUGUAGGCGGCCCAUUAAGUCUGGUGUGAAAGCCCUUAGCUCAACUAAGGAAAGUCAUCUGAAACUGGUGGGCUUGAGUACGGGAGAGGAGAGUGGAAUUCCCAGUGUAGAGGUGAAAUUCGUAGAUAUUGGGGGGAACACCGGUGGCGAAGGCGGCUCUCUGGACCGAUACUGACGCUGAGACGCGAAAGCGUGGGGAGCAAACAGGAUUAGAUACCCUGGUAGUCCACGCCGUAAACGAUGGGCACUAGGUGUAGAGGGUAUUGACCCCCUCUGUGCCGCAGCUAACGCAUUAAGUGCCCCGCCU